UCAGAUUGAACGCUGGCGGCAGGCUUAACACAUGCAAGUCGAGCGGAAACGAGAAAUAGCUUGCUAUUUCGGCGUCGAGCGGCGGACGGGUGAGUAAUGCUUGGGAAUAUGCCUUUGAGUGGGGGACAACAGUUGGAAACGACUGCUAAUACCGCAUAACGUCUACGGACCAAAGGGGGGGAUGCUCCGGCACCUCUCGCUCAUAGAUUAGCCCAAGUGAGAUUAGCUAGUUGGUAAGGUAAUGGCUUACCAAGGCGACGAUCUCUAGCUGGUUUGAGAGGAUGAUCAGCCACACUGGGACUGAGACACGGCCCAGACUCCUACGGGAGGCAGCAGUGGGGAAUAUUGCACAAUGGGGGAAACCCUGAUGCAGCCAUGCCGCGUGUGUGAAGAAGGCCUUCGGGUUGUAAAGCACUUURCAGUUGUGAGGAGAGGGAUGUAGUUAAUAACUGCAUUCUGUGACGUUGGCAACAGAAGAAGGACCGGCUAACUCC
RNAcentral lists this ribosomal RNA (494 nucleotides) under Colwellia sp. 'Egg clone D35'. RNAcentral's name for it is "bacterial SSU rRNA". It matches the Rfam family "Bacterial small subunit ribosomal RNA", at positions 24 to 504 of the family's 1533-position model. Lineage: Bacteria; Pseudomonadati; Pseudomonadota; Gammaproteobacteria; Alteromonadales; Colwelliaceae. The record is from RNAcentral.